This 492-nucleotide ribosomal RNA is filed under the name uncultured bacterium. RNAcentral describes it as "partial 16S ribosomal RNA". It matches the Rfam family "Bacterial small subunit ribosomal RNA", at positions 30 to 507 of the family's 1533-position model. The record is from RNAcentral.
AGUGAACGCUGGCGGUAGGCCUAACACAUGCAAGUCGAACGGAAGCACAGUAAGAGCUUGCUCUUACGGGUGGCGAAUGGCGGACGGGUGAGGAAUGCAUCGGACUCUACUUUUUCGUGGGGGAUAACGUAGGGAAAGUUACUCUAAUACAGGAUACGACCUACGGGGGAGAGCAGGGGAUCUUCUGGCCUUGCGGGGAUGGAUGAGCCGAUGACGGAUUAGCUAGUUGGCGGGGUAAAGGCCUACCAAGGCGACGAUCCGUAGCUGGUCUGGGAGGAUGGUCAGCAACAUUGGAACUGAGACACGGUCCAGACGCCUAAGGGAGGCAGCAGUGGGGAAUAUUGGACAAAGGGGGAAAGCCUGACCCAGCCAUAGCGAGUGGGUGAAGAAGGCGUUCGGGUUGGAAAGCCCUUUUGUUGGGAAAGAAAAGCAGCAGGUUAAGACGCCGCGGUUCUGACGGUACCCAAAGAAUAAGCACCGGCUAACUUCGUG